CCACUCAUUCAAAGAGUGCGUAAUAGCUCACUGGUCGAGUGAUCCUGCGCCGAAGAUUUCCGGGGCUAAAACUUACUACCGAAGCUACGGCAUCAGUAAUGAUGGGUAGGGGAGCUUCCCAUACGGGCUGAAGCAUGACCGUAAGGACAUGUGGACAGUAUGGGAGUGAGAAUGUUGGCAUGAGUAGCGAGAUGUGGGUGAGAAUCCCACAGGCCGUAAACCAGGUUUCCAGGGGAAGGUUCGUCCACCCUGGGUUAGUCGGGACCUAAGCUGAGGCCGAAAGGCGUAGGUGAUGGACAACAGGUUGAUAUUCCUGUACUACCGAUAACCGUUUGAGAGAAGGGAUGACACAGUAGGAUAAGCUAAGCACACUG
This 374-nucleotide ribosomal RNA is filed under the name Clostridioides difficile. RNAcentral's name for it is "partial 23S ribosomal RNA". It matches the Rfam family "Bacterial large subunit ribosomal RNA", at positions 1116 to 1497 of the family's 2925-position model. Lineage: Bacteria; Bacillati; Bacillota; Clostridia; Peptostreptococcales; Peptostreptococcaceae. The record is from RNAcentral.